This 914-nucleotide long non-coding RNA is filed under the name Pan troglodytes (chimpanzee). RNAcentral's name for it is "lncRNA (ENSPTRG00000053604.1)". Lineage: Eukaryota; Metazoa; Chordata; Mammalia; Primates; Hominidae. The record is from RNAcentral.
GCUCUUUACAGGACUUAUUUUUUUUUAAGAGAGAAAGAGGUAUUAUAUAAUACUGAUGUAAUAGAAUGCAGUUGGAGUUCCAGCAUGCAAUAGAGUAACUAUGGUAUUCUUGAAAAGGCAGAUUCUCAGUUAAAAUCUUCCCAUUUUAGAAAAACAAGGAGGCUCAAAUUAUGUUACGUUGAUAUCUGUAGAUUGCUCAGUAUUGUCCAGGACCGUGGGAGUGCAUGAGCAAGAAUACGGGGGGGCUCUGGUUCCACAUCCUUGUUUUACAAGUAAGGAAACUGAGGCACAGAGACAUUCCCUGCUCAAGGUUCAUAGCUGCUCAGUCCAGGUCCUCAUAGCUGCUCAGUCAGGUCCUCAUAGCUGCUCAGUCCAGGUCCUCAUAGCUCAGUCCAGGUCCUCAUAGCUGCUCAGUCCAGGUCCUCAUAGCUGCUCAGUCAGGUGCUCAUAGCUGCUCAGUCCAGGUCCUCAUAGCUGCUCAGUCAGGUGCUCAUAGCUGUUCAGUCCAGGUCCUCAUAGCUGCUCAGUCACGUGCUCAUAGCUGCUCAGUCCAGGUGCUUAUAGCUGCUCAGUCCAGGUCCUCAUAGCUGCUCAGUCCAGGUCCUCAUAGCUCAGUCCAGGUCCUCAUAGCUGCUCAGUCCAGGUCCUCAUAGCUGUUCAGUCCAGGUCCUCAUAGCUGUUUAGUCCAGGUCCUCAUAGCUGUCAGUCCAGGUCCUCAUAGCUGUCAGUCCGGGUGCUCAUAGCUGUCAGUCCAGGUCCUCUGCCUCCAGUAUGCAGAACUCUGCACACGGGAGGAGGAAGCUUCUGUCUGCGGCUCUCAGCUUCCUCUUCAUCCGUGAAGGGAGCAGUCGGCGAGUGUGAGUGGGUGUCCAGGCUGCCUCCUGGGGCCUCAUGCUGUUUAAAAAACAUCCACC